This 439-nucleotide ribosomal RNA is filed under the name uncultured bacterium. Its description in RNAcentral is "partial 16S ribosomal RNA". It matches the Rfam family "Bacterial small subunit ribosomal RNA", at positions 339 to 795 of the family's 1533-position model. The record is from RNAcentral.
CUACGGGGUGCACCAGUGAGGAAUAUUGCACAAUGGGGGGAACCCUGAUGCAGCAACGCCGCGUGGAGGAUGACGCAUUUCGGUGUGUAAACUCCUUUUAUAUGUCAAGAAAAUGACGGUAGCAUAUGAAUAAGCACCGGCUAACUCCGUGCCAGCAGCCGCGGUAAUACGGAGGGUGCAAGCGUUACUCGGAAUCACUGGGCGUAAAGGACGCGUAGGCGGGUUGGAAAGUCAGGUGUGAAAUCCUACAGCUUAACUGUAGAACUGCACUUGAAACUUCUAAUCUAGAGUAUGGGAGGGGGAGAUGGAAUUAGUGGUGUAGGGGUAAAAUCCGUAGAUAUAAAUAGGAAUACCUAAAGCGAAGGCGAUCUCCUGGAACAUUACUGACGCUAAGGCGUGAAAGCGUGGGGAGCAAACAGGAUUAGAUACCCCCGUAGUC